AUGCUUGAUCUCAAUGAGUUGCCUCCAGAUCUCAAUGAGCUUCCUCAUGAUAUGGAUCAGCAGCAACCCAGCAUACAACAAGGAAACUGCACAGAAAAUGGUCGAUCUGUUUACUACACGCAGGCAAGUCGUGAUGGUAACCCUACGGGCCAUGACAAUGUGGCAGGCCAGUCAUCAGCCCGUGGUGCCCCUGUAGUGGUGUCUUUGCAGUCAGAGAGCCAUACUCUUGAUGACACAGGAACCGAGGCAAAUGUUCCUGGUCCAAGCAGGACUGAGCUGGAAGCUGGGGCUUUUGACAGAGCUGUGCAAGUAGAAGAAGGAGAGGAUGAGGUUGGUUCUCAACCUAUGGAACCCUAUGUUGGCAUGAGGUUUGACAGCCUUCAAAUUGCUAAGGAUCACUACAACAAUUACGCACUACGGAUGGGUUUCUCUAUCAAGAUGAACACCUCUAGACGGACACCCCGCACCAAUGAAUUGAUAAAACAACAGUUUUGCUGCAACAAGUUCAAGAAGCCCAACGUUGAUGAUGGAGGAGCUGAGGCUCCUCCUUACCUGGACCCUAUUCCAGAUCCAACAUCUGUUAACAGUGAUGAGGAGAUGGAAGAAGAACCUCCAAUAUUUGCUGAAGAGGAUGCUGGUACUAGUAAGAAGAAGAAGAAGCGCAAACGUGAGACAAUAAAGCAGACUGAAUGCAAGGCGAAAAUGUUGGUGAAGCUGAUAGAUGGGCGAUGGGAGGUGACGCACUUUGUUCGUGACCACAAUCAUCCGCUCGUGAACAAACCUUCAUUGUCCAAAUACUUGAGAUCCCACCAAGGCAUCUCACCUGAUGAAAAGGAGUUUCUGCGCAUCUUGUAUAACUGCAACUUGACUACAGACGAAUGA
RNAcentral lists this ribosomal RNA (882 nucleotides) under Triticum aestivum (bread wheat). RNAcentral's name for it is "partial small subunit ribosomal RNA". The record is from RNAcentral. Lineage: Eukaryota; Viridiplantae; Streptophyta; Magnoliopsida; Poales; Poaceae.